This 83-nucleotide transfer RNA is filed under the name Aspergillus melleus. RNAcentral describes it as "tRNA-Arg". It matches the Rfam family "tRNA". From Rfam's summary of the family: Transfer RNA (tRNA) molecules are approximately 80 nucleotides in length. Their secondary structure includes four short double-helical elements and three loops (D, anti-codon, and T loops). The record is from RNAcentral. Lineage: Eukaryota; Fungi; Ascomycota; Eurotiomycetes; Eurotiales; Aspergillaceae.
GCCCGGCUAGCUCAAUCGGUAGAGCGUAAGACUUCUACAGGGAAAACAUCUUAAGGCUGCGGGUUCGACCCCCGCGUUGGGCU